Molecule: ribosomal RNA, 1875 nt
Filed under: Salmonella enterica subsp. enterica serovar Enteritidis
Lineage: Bacteria; Pseudomonadati; Pseudomonadota; Gammaproteobacteria; Enterobacterales; Enterobacteriaceae
Description: partial 23S ribosomal RNA
Rfam family: Bacterial large subunit ribosomal RNA
Source: RNAcentral
AGCAUUUGCUGUACCGCGUUGACGGAGCGAAGCGACGUCAAACCGAUAAAACAGCAGUGUAAAGUGAGCCGCAGGGCGCUUUGCGCGACAGCGCAAAGGCAGGCGGUUUCGCGUAGCGAAAGCGAAUGCUUUGGGGUGGGGUGACUGCGUACCUUUUGUAUAAUGGGUCAGCGACUUAUAUUCUGUAGCAAGGUUAACCGAAUAGGGGAGCCGGAGGGAAACCGAGUCUUAAUUGGGCGUUAAGUUGCAGGGUAUAGACCCGAAACCCGGUGAUCUAGCCAUGGGCAGGUUGAAGGUUGGGUAACACUAACUGGAGGACCGAACCGACUAAUGUUGAAAAAUUAGCGGAUGACCUGUGGCUGGGGGUGAAAGGCCAAUCAAACCGGGAGAUAGCUGGUUCUCCCCGAAAGCUAUUUAGGUAGCGCCUCGUGAAUUCAUCUCCGGGGGUAGAGCACUGUUUCGGCUAGGGGGCCAUCCCGGCUUACCAACCCGAUGCAAACUGCGAAUACCGGAGAAUGUUAUCACGGGAGACACACGGCGGGUGCUAACGUCCGUCGUGAAGAGGGAAACAACCCAGACCGCCAGCUAAGGUCCCAAAGUCAUGGUUAAGUGGGAAACGAUGUGGGAAGGCCCAGACAGCCAGGAUGUUGGCUUAGAAGCAGCCAUCAUUUAAAGAAAGCGUAAUAGCUCACUGGUCGAGUCGGCCUGCGCGGAAGAUGUAACGGGGCUAAACCAUGCACCGAAGCUGCGGCAGCGACACUGUGUGUUGUUGGGUAGGGGAGCGUUCUGUAAGCCUGUGAAGGUGUGUCGUGAGGCAUGCUGGAGGUAUCAGAAGUGCGAAUGCUGACAUAAGUAACGAUAAAGCGGGUGAAAAGCCCGCUCGCCGGAAGACCAAGGGUUCCUGUCCAACGUUAAUCGGGGCAGGGUGAGUCGACCCCUAAGGCGAGGCCGAAAGGCGUAGUCGAUGGGAAACGGGUUAAUAUUCCCGUACUUGGUGUUACUGCGAAGGGGGGACGGAGAAGGCUAUGUUGGCCGGGCGACGGUUGUCCCGGUUUAAGCGUGUAGGUGUGUGUUCCAGGUAAAUCCGGUUCACUUUAACACUGAGGCGUGACGACGAGGCACUACGGUGCUGAAGCAACAAAUGCCCUGCUUCCAGGAAAAGCCUCUAAGCAUCAGGUAACAUCAAAUCGUACCCCAAACCGACACAGGUGGUCAGGUAGAGAAUACCAAGGCGCUUGAGAGAACUCGGGUGAAGGAACUAGGCAAAAUGGUGCCGUAACUUCGGGAGAAGGCACGCUGACACGUAGGUGAAGUGAUUUACUCAUGGAGCUGAAGUCAGUCGAAGAUACCAGCUGGCUGCAACUGUUUAUUAAAAACACAGCACUGUGCAAACACGAAAGUGGACGUAUACGGUGUGACGCCUGCCCGGUGCCGGAAGGUUAAUUGAUGGGGUCAGCGCAAGCGAAGCUCCUGAUCGAAGCCCCGGUAAACGGCGGCCGUAACUAUAACGGUCCUAAGGUAGCGAAAUUCCUUGUCGGGUAAGUUCCGACCUGCACGAAUGGCGUAAUGAUGGCCAGGCUGUCUCCACCCGAGACUCAGUGAAAUUGAACUCGCUGUGAAGAUGCAGUGUACCCGCGGCAAGACGGAAAGACCCCGUGAACCUUUACUAUAGCUUGACACUGAACAUUGAGCCUUGAUGUGUAGGAUAGGUGGGAGGCUUUGAAGUGUGGACGCCAGUCUGCAUGGAGCCGACCUUGAAAUACCACCCUUUAAUGUUUGAUGUUCUAACGUGGACCCGUUACCCGGGUUGCGGACAGUGUCUGGUGGGUAGUUUGACUGGGGCGGUCUCCUCCUAAAGAGUAACGGAGGAGCACG